UUCGAGUCAAGAGAUAGA
This 18-nucleotide small nuclear RNA is filed under the name Arabidopsis thaliana (thale cress). RNAcentral describes it as "snRNA_15350". Lineage: Eukaryota; Viridiplantae; Streptophyta; Magnoliopsida; Brassicales; Brassicaceae. The record is from RNAcentral.